This 468-nucleotide ribosomal RNA is filed under the name uncultured bacterium. RNAcentral's name for it is "partial 16S ribosomal RNA". It matches the Rfam family "Bacterial small subunit ribosomal RNA", at positions 28 to 507 of the family's 1533-position model. The record is from RNAcentral.
GACGAACGCUGGCGGCGUGCUUAACACAUGCAAGUCGAACGGAAAGGCCCUGCUUUUGUGGGGUGCUCGAGUGGCGCACGUGUGAGACACACGAGUGUAACCUGCGCUUGCCUUUGGGAUAACUUCAAGAAACUGGGGCUAAUACCGGAUAUGAGCUCCUGCUGCGUGGUGUGGGUUGGAUAGUUUCGGCGGUUGGGGAUGGACUCGCGGCUUAUCUGCUGGUUGGUGGGGUGGUGGCUUACCAAGGCUUUGACGGGUAGCCGGCCUGGGAGGGUGACCGGCGACAUUGGGACUGAGAUACGGCCCGGACGCCUACGGGAGGCAGCAGUGGGGAAUAUUGCACAAUGGGCGGAAGCCUGAUGCAGCGACGCCGCGUGCGGGAUGACGGCCUUCGGGUUGUAAACCGCUUGCGCCUGGGACGAAGCGUGAGUGACGGUAAUGGGUAAAGAAGCACCGGCUAACUACGUG